UGAUUUCUUUUUACAUUUAAAUUUAAAAAUAUGGUUUGAAAACCUAAAAUAAUUGAUCAUUUUCUUGUGUUUAGCUCCUCCACCUUCCACACGAGUAAAAGAUUUUUAAUUUUUGAUGCUUUCCCUGAAAAUAAAAUUGAGCAUUGUGAUUUACCUCUUAGACUCUUUACUCACCGUUCUUAUUUUUAAUCUUGUUUUUAUUUGAUCAAUGCACUUUUAGCAGAUUGACUUUUAAGAAAAUAAAUUACUCUAAAUCUCUCUUUUACAGUUUUUGACAAUCCUUGGAUGCACGUUUCCUGGGGCAGAGAACAUGAGAUACAUCUGCAUCAUGUGGACAAUUUUCAACCAGUAAAUGGAGUCAGACACAUCAGAGUUCUGCUGUAUGGACCGGUCGGUGCCGGGAAGUCCAGCUUCAUCACCUCUGUCAGUAAUGCUUUGCGAAGGAAAGUGACCUGUGAAGCUCUGGCCAAUGCUGCUAACAGUUCUGGCCAAAGUUUUUCCAAGAAGGUGAAUAUUUAUUUUUCUUUGUUUUAAGACAUGAAAUAGAUACCAUCUUGUAUCACUUAGAUAUUUUAUGGUUUUAAAAGGUAAGGUAAUCACAGUCAGGGAGACUAACACAACAUGUGAGUGCUGGUUUAGUCACAGUUGAGGGAAGACAUGUCCAGACAUGCCCCAUCCUGUCCCUGUGCCUAAAGCCCAGUUCACACUACAUGAUUUUAAUAUUGUCGGCCGAUUCUCAAAACGUGAGAGACCACACACUAACGGGUUCGAUCGUAGAGUGUGAGGUUUCACUCAAGGACAUUCCAAUUCCAGAUAUGUAAUCUCUUAAAAUUCUGUGCUACCACACCUGAAUUUAGAGUAAACAAACAUGGACAAUGAUGUUGAAGCAGUAACUUUUGUUUGUGGACUUAUUUUAACCCAAAAAAGACAUAACCAAAAAUCAAAGCUUUGGAUUAAGAACUGGAGACGUGCGAGCAAGGACUGUAUUUAUUGCACCACAAUAUGGAGGUGAGGUGUUUUUUUCCUCAUAACAAAUACUGUUUUUAAUUUUCUCGUUUUUUCUCGUUUAAUUAACCGUUACCGUUUAGUUAUCAGUUUAUAAUUUUUUGAUGUGUUGAUGUGGUUGUAGAAUAUAUGCAUAUACUGGGCCUUCUUUCAGAAAACUGAAUGAUUGAAACAUCAGAGUAGCUUAAGCUAGAAGAAAGCAUUUCCUGCAUAUUCGUUUCUAGAAAAUCAGAUGGCAGUUAUCCUUUUGUCCCCCCAUUAAAAGGUUAAUGUAUUCCAGCUCCUUUAAUUGAAACCCGCAUGGGGAGUUAAUUGUAUUUUUUCUGGCAUCGCUUCUGAAGCCGCGCAAUAUUUUUGCAGCGCUUUGCGCUUGUCACAGUUUUCUGCACUUCCAUCUUUUUUCUCUAUCUGCUCCUGUAAUUAGACUACAAAUAGAUGAACACAGCAUAACAUUUUCUGUAUGUUUCCUCUGUUGUGUUAUUACUACAGAAUGAAAUCAAAUGUAAUGUUUAAUGUAUUUCUUCAAACAUACCUUCCUUUAUUAAUCAUCUGUUUUAAUUCUAUUAUUAACCUUUGAUUUGUCUUUUUAUUAAUUUCUUGAUCUGCUUUUUGAUUACAUCAACCUUUUUAUAAUCAUACAUGAAUCAAAAUGCAAAUUGCUUGCUUUAUAAUCAUUAGAAAAU
Molecule: long non-coding RNA, 1688 nt
Organism: Xiphophorus hellerii (green swordtail)
Lineage: Eukaryota; Metazoa; Chordata; Actinopteri; Cyprinodontiformes; Poeciliidae
Exons: 2
Source: RefSeq, a predicted model, not a curated record